This 160-nucleotide non-coding RNA is filed under the name uncultured Alistipes sp. The record is from RNAcentral. Lineage: Bacteria; Pseudomonadati; Bacteroidota; Bacteroidia; Bacteroidales; Rikenellaceae.
ACGAAAAGACAAUAAAAGGGAAUCGGGUGCAAAUCCCGGACAGUCCCGCUGCUGUGAAGCUCCAAUCAACGUCCUGAAACCAUCUGCAUGGCCACUGACCCAUACGUAGGUCGGGAAGGCAUCAGGACGGGAGUCAGUCAGAAGACCUGCCAGUUCAGUU